This 883-nucleotide long non-coding RNA is filed under the name Nicotiana benthamiana. RNAcentral's name for it is "long non-coding RNA (NBEN_LNC024616)". Lineage: Eukaryota; Viridiplantae; Streptophyta; Magnoliopsida; Solanales; Solanaceae. The record is from RNAcentral.
ACUACCACAUAUGCAUGAACAUCCAUAUGGUGAAUAUCUCUUUUAAAGAGAAUAUUAUACCAUUAUAAUCAUGGUCAAAAUUAUAUGCAAGAUAUGUUUCUUGCAUUAUUAUUGUUCUUUAAUAGUCACAUUGCCAAAAUAUUUUGACGUACAAUAGGUACGUUACCAAUGAUCAUUCAUGCCUUAAUAAUGAUAUUAUUUUCUUAUAUCAUCUCAACCCUCCUUCUAGAGGUGAGUAUGGUAUAUUUAAUACCAAUAGCAUGUUCAUAUUCUUUUAAGAAUGAAUAUGUAUUCAUAACUUAGAUGUUGUCACACUCACAUCACGAAUGGACCAUAAUCAUUUAUAUAUGCUUUAUAAAAUCUCAUAUUGUCAAAUUGAUGACAAAUAUUACUUUCACUGAGUGAAGGAUUAUUUUGAGACUCCUUAUUAUCUUCAUUAUCACAAUGAUGACGAUUAUAAUUUCGUCUAUUGCCACGUUCAUAAAUGCGUUUAACAUUUGAUUUGCUAUUCUUUGCAAAUGAAUAAUCUUUUGCACCUCGUUUUCACAAAUAGAGGCACGUGGAUCAAGAUGAGAUAAUGAUGGAUUUUUUCACAAAAUUUCCCGUUUGGUUUCACCAACUUCUCCCCUGUGAUAAUUUGUCAGUCUAAGACGAACUAGCAUUGCUGCAUGCAAAAUGGCGUGACCCCAAACCGAAGUUGAAAGCCUCAUUUUCAUGAGUAACGGUCUCGCUAUCAACUGCAGAUGUUUAAUUAAAUAUUCUGCAAGACCAUGUUGAGUGUGAACAUGAAGUACAAGAUGUUCCACUUUUAUCUCAAUUAAUAAGAAAUAAUCAUUAAAUGCUUGGGAUGAAAACUCAACAACAUUAUCUAGUCUAAUAGACU